UAUUAAAGGCAACGCCUGCCCAGUGAAUAAUUAAACGGCCGCGGUACCCUAACCGUGCAAAGGUAGCGCAAUCACUUGUCUAUUAAUUGUAGACCCGUAUGAAAGGCACAAUGAGGGUCCAACUGUCUCUUUUAGUUAAUCAAUUAAACUGAUCUCCCAGUCCAAAAGCUGGGAUAUAAACAUAAGACCAGAAGACCCUGUGAAACUUUAACUAAACUAUUAAAUCAAAUAAUAGCUCCUUUAGGUUGGGGCGACCUUGGAAAAUAAAAGAACUUCCAAAGACACAGUAUACAACUAUACUGCCCAGGCCAACAAGCCAACAAUGACCCAGCAUAGCUGACAACUGAACCAAGCUACUCCAGGGAUAACAGCGCUAUCUUCUUCAAGAGCCCAUAUCAAAAAGAAGGUUUACGACCUCGAUGUUGGAUCAGGACAUCCUAAUGGUGCAGCCGCUAUUAAGGGUUCGUUUGUUCAACGAUUAAUAGUCCUACGUGAUCUGA
This 500-nucleotide ribosomal RNA is filed under the name Brachyurophis roperi (Northern shovel-nosed snake). Its description in RNAcentral is "partial 16S ribosomal RNA". It matches the Rfam family "Bacterial large subunit ribosomal RNA", at positions 1844 to 2608 of the family's 2925-position model. The record is from RNAcentral. Lineage: Eukaryota; Metazoa; Chordata; Lepidosauria; Squamata; Elapidae.